GUAAAUGAUGAAAACCUGAAUAGGAAGUGCCGUCAGAUGCGAUAACUGACGAUCUGUUUUUAGUUUCUGAUU
Small nucleolar RNA from Callorhinchus milii (elephant shark), 72 nucleotides. Ensembl annotates it as small nucleolar RNA, C/D box 49A. Its record names the gene SNORD49A. Lineage: Eukaryota; Metazoa; Chordata; Chondrichthyes; Chimaeriformes; Callorhinchidae. The record is from Ensembl.